CACAGGGCCAAGUCUCACAGGCUGGCGCUCAGAGCUCCCUGAGCAGCUUGCCCAGGUAAAGGAGGCUCUCUCCUGCCCUCCCCUCCAUCCCCUUGGCCAUGAAGCCUGGAUCAAAGGCUCCAAGCUGGGCUUUUGCCAGGGGCUGGCAGGAUUGGGGUGGGUGGGGGGCCUCGUGGGAAAGGAAACCGUGGAGGUGCAGAGGCUGCUGGAAGAGCUUUGAAGGCCGGAGACCAGGUUCAGAGAUGGUAAGUAACUUGCUCCAGACAACACAGCUCUAAGUAACGCCGGCCGCCGCCGCCACUGAAACCCAGGCAACCCCCCAACUGUUCUGAAGAUGAGCUUCUGCCACUACAGAAGUGACGGGUGGGAGAACUGAGGAUUCCAGCUUCACCAAAGUUCCUCUUAUUUACAACCCCCUUGGGGCCCAGCCAUGGGAACUGUGUGAAACCUAGCUACUGAAUGAGUCUUCUGUCCUUUCUGGGGCUCAGUGUUCCACACCUGCAAAUGGAAACUAAUAUGCCUCACUUGCCCAGCGAUGCUACACAGAAAAGAGCCAGUGAGGGCACCCUGGAGCCAUGGUUACUCAGUCUCCCACUCUCUCAUCCAGACAGGGUGAAUUCUUUGGAUGCCAGGCUGCUGGCCAAGGCUUCUCAAAUACACACAGUAGCCCUGCUUCACCCAAACUAGCCCUCCCCAUCAGAGACCCCAAGGACUGGGGCACUCUAACCCAUGCCCACACCUUCAGGUUUCCCUACCCACCACCAAGCUGCCACUUCUCAGGUGAAGGUGAGAUACAUUUCUCCCAAGAGCCUGGCAACAUCCACUAAAACCCUGAGCCAACCCAGCUGACUGUCUUCCAGCCAGGGACAUGGUGUGCCAGUCUCUUCUAAGAACAGCGUCACCAACGGGUCCCAUUCUCCCUCACAGCCGCUGCUUAGCCCUCCAGGCUCUCUAUUGCUCCUGCCAGGCAAGGAAGAGUUGCCAGCUGUGGUUCCUGGGGCAGAAAGACAGACUCCCUUCCUGGACACUUCCGAAAGCCUUAUUCCUCAUCCACUGGGACCCUGAGUGGCAGCCAAGGAAUGUGUUCUGGUCCUGUUUUACCACGGGGGAAAACCGGGUGAACCUACCAAGAAGAGCCUACGGCUUCCCACCUCUGGAUACUGGAGGAGCCUGCAGGCGCUCAGGUCACUCACC
This is a long non-coding RNA of Peromyscus leucopus (white-footed mouse), 1194 nucleotides long. RefSeq lists it as uncharacterized. The transcript has 3 exons. The record is from RefSeq and is a predicted model, not a curated record. NCBI's taxonomy places the organism in Eukaryota, Metazoa, Chordata, Mammalia, Rodentia, Cricetidae.